This 372-nucleotide long non-coding RNA is filed under the name Chinchilla lanigera (long-tailed chinchilla). Its description in RNAcentral is "lncRNA (ENSCLAG00000025342.1)". The record is from RNAcentral. Lineage: Eukaryota; Metazoa; Chordata; Mammalia; Rodentia; Chinchillidae.
AAAAUCACAGCCUAUUUAUUUUUUGGUACUGGAGUUUGAACCCAGGCCCUCACCCAUGCUAAUCCUGUGUUCACCGCUGAGCUAGAAGGGGCCUUGUGUCUCUGGGAUGCUUCAGGUGGCUCAAAGCUCCCUGUCUUGGAAAUCAGGAAUCUGCUUUCCAUGUGGCUCCCAUAUGCAGCUGCAGAAUCCAGUCUGGGAAAGGUGCAGGCCGGUACCAGAUGCCCUUCCUCGGUGUCUCAGUUCUGCACCUGUGAAGUCGCCUCACCGUGUAAGGCUGCCGAGAUCCGCGACAGUUCUGUGACAGGCAGGAAGGACAGAGGAGAGCUUUUGGAGCCUGGGGAGGAAAUCGGAAACCUGCUGGGGCCUGCUUGA